Molecule: ribosomal RNA, 429 nt
Filed under: Pseudomonadota bacterium
Lineage: Bacteria; Pseudomonadati; Pseudomonadota
Description: Proteobacteria bacterium partial 16S ribosomal RNA
Rfam family: Bacterial small subunit ribosomal RNA
Source: RNAcentral
UGGGGAAUAUUGGACAAUGGGCGAAAGCCUGAUCCAGCCAUGACGCGUGUGUGAAGAAGGGCUGCGGAUUGUAAAGCACUUGAAGUUGGGAGGAAGGGCAGUAAGCGAAUACCUUGCUGUUUUGACGUUACCGACAGAAUAAGCACCGGCUAACGCUGUGCCAGCAGCCGGGGUAAUACAGAGGGUGCAAGCGUUAAUCGGAAUUACUGGGCGUAAAGCGCGCGUAGGUGGUUCGUUAAGUUGAAUGUGAAAGCCCCGGGCUCAACCUGGUAACUGCAUCCAAAACUGGCUCGCUAGAGUAGGGCAGAGGGUGGUGGAAUUUCCUGUGUAGCGGUGAAAUGCGUAGAUAUAGGAAGGAACACCAGUGGCGAAGGCGACCACCUGGGCUCAUACUGACACUGAGGUGCGAACGCGUGGGGAGCAAACAGG